RNAcentral lists this ribosomal RNA (321 nucleotides) under uncultured eukaryote. RNAcentral's name for it is "partial 18S ribosomal RNA". It matches the Rfam family "Eukaryotic small subunit ribosomal RNA", at positions 1470 to 1796 of the family's 1831-position model. The record is from RNAcentral.
CCCUUAGAUGUUCUGGGCUGCACGCGUGCUACACUGAUUAUUUCAACAAGUGUUUUAACUGGAGAGUUCGCGUAAUCCUGAAAUGUUAUCGUGAUGGGAGUAGAGUAUUGUAUUUGUUAAUCUUUAACGAGGAAUUCCUAGUAAGUGUAGGUUUAUAAGUUGUUCUGAUUACGUCCCUGCCCUUUGUACACACCGCCCGUCGCUCCUACCGAUUGAGUGGUCCGGUGAGGCUUUGGGAUCUGAGCGGAAAGAGCGUUUCGCUGUUUCUGCUCGGAAAACUCAGUCGAACCUUAUCAUUUAGAGGAAGGAGAAGUCGUAACA